This 639-nucleotide ribosomal RNA is filed under the name Discocriconemella hengsungica. Its description in RNAcentral is "partial large subunit ribosomal RNA". It matches the Rfam family "Eukaryotic large subunit ribosomal RNA", at positions 420 to 907 of the family's 3401-position model. The record is from RNAcentral. Lineage: Eukaryota; Metazoa; Nematoda; Chromadorea; Rhabditida; Criconematidae.
CGGAUAGAGCUAGCGAACUCGCUCGUAUUCAGCCAAAGGCCCGUAGUCGCCGGCUGCUGUGUUGCUAAUAACGCUCGGCGGUCGUCCGGCUGCGGGUUGAGGUGCAUUUGCGGGCGUUUGCGCUGAGACUUGUGGGGCAGCUGCUGGAUCUGUACACUAGAGGCCGCCCUCUGGGCGGAACCUGGUCGCAGUGACGGCUGUUUGCUCUGCUCGUAGUGGUACGGCUUACGGACCUUGGCCUCGCCGCGAUGUCUCACAGCCCUGGUAUCGCAUGCGAUGCUUAUCGGUGGGGCUGCGGUUGGGUCUGGUGUUCCCGUGCCAGUUCUCGGUGUAGAAGCUGGUCAUCUCUCCGACCCGUCUUGAAACACGGACCAAGGAGUUUAGCGUAUGCGCGAGUCAUUGGGUGUUGAAAACCCAUAGGCGCAAUGAAAGUAAAGGCUCGGUUGCCGGGCUGACAUGCGAGCGUGUGGGCCUCGGCCCUCGUGUGCAGCAUGGCCCCGUUCCGGUCGCUUGCGACGGAGCGGAGGUAGAGCGUAUGCGCUGAGACCCGAAAGAUGGUGAACUAUUCCUGAGCAGGACGAAGCCAGAGGAAACUCUGGUGGAAGUCCGAAGCGAUUCUGACGUGCAAAUCGAUCGUCU